RNAcentral lists this unclassified non-coding RNA (342 nucleotides) under soil metagenome. RNAcentral describes it as "partial contains 5.8S ribosomal RNA, internal transcribed spacer 2, and large subunit ribosomal RNA". The stretch from base 1 to 119 matches the Rfam family "5.8S ribosomal RNA", at positions 35 to 154 of the family's 154-position model. The record is from RNAcentral.
GAUGAAGACGCAGCGAAAUGCGAUAAGUAAUGUGAAUUGCAGAAUCCAGUGAAUCAUCGAAUCUUUGAACGCACAUUGCGCCCGCCAGCAUUCUGGCGGGCAUGCCUGUUCGAGCGUCAUUUCAACCCUCGACCUCCCCUUGGGGAGGUCGGCGUUGGGGACCGGCAGCACACCGCCGGCCCUGAAAUGGAGUGGCGGCCCGUCCGCGGCGACCUCUGCGUAGUAAUACAGCUCGCACCGGAACCCCGACGCGGCCACGCCGUAAAACACCCAACUUCUGAACGUUGACCUCGAAUCAGGUAGGACUACCCGCUGAACUUAAGCAUAUCAAUAAGCGGAGGA